This 431-nucleotide ribosomal RNA is filed under the name uncultured Glomus. Its description in RNAcentral is "SSU rRNA". It matches the Rfam family "Eukaryotic small subunit ribosomal RNA", at positions 569 to 1003 of the family's 1831-position model. The record is from RNAcentral. Lineage: Eukaryota; Fungi; Glomeromycota; Glomeromycetes; Glomerales; Glomeraceae.
AGCAGCCGCGGUAAUUCCAGCUCCAAUAGCGUAUAUUAAAGUUGUUGCAGUUAAAAAGCUCGUAGUUGAACUUCGGGGUUUACUCAUUGGUCAGGCUUAAUUGUCUGUACUGGUGAGAUGAAUCUCUACCUUCUGAGGAACUUUCAUGCCAUUUAUUUGGUGUGGUUGGAAAUCAGGACUGUUACUUUGAAAAAUUAGAGUGUUUAAAGCAGGCUAACGUCUGAAUACAUUAGCAUGGAAUAAUGAAUAGGACGGAUUGAUUCUAUUUCGUUGGUUUCUAGGGUCACCGUAAUGAUUAAUAGGGAUAGUUGGGGGCAUUAGUAUUCAAUUGUCAGAGGUGAAAUUCUUGGAUUUAUUGAAGACUAACUACUGCGAAAGCAUUUGCCAAGGAUGUUUUCAUUAAUCAAGAACGAAAGUUAGGGGGAUCGAAG